RNAcentral lists this transfer RNA (72 nucleotides) under Tridentiger trigonocephalus. RNAcentral's name for it is "tRNA-Val". It matches the Rfam family "tRNA". Rfam says of the family: Transfer RNA (tRNA) molecules are approximately 80 nucleotides in length. Their secondary structure includes four short double-helical elements and three loops (D, anti-codon, and T loops). Lineage: Eukaryota; Metazoa; Chordata; Actinopteri; Gobiiformes; Gobiidae. The record is from RNAcentral.
CAGAGCGUAGCUAAAAUAGGAUAGCAUCUCCCUUACACUGAGAAGACAUCCGUGCAAAUCGGAUCGAGCUGA